AAAAAGGGCAUCUGCUGUGAUUGGCAUAGCUGUGGAUGGUUCCUGACACAGCUACGGAAUCACUAUCAAGAGAUUUCGGAUGCACAAUUUUUAUAACCCGAGGCUGCCAAUGAUCGCUAAUCUUGGUGCCUCA
Molecule: small nuclear RNA, 133 nt
Organism: Cyprinus carpio (common carp)
Lineage: Eukaryota; Metazoa; Chordata; Actinopteri; Cypriniformes; Cyprinidae
Product: U11 spliceosomal RNA
Source: RefSeq, a predicted model, not a curated record